RNAcentral lists this ribosomal RNA (20 nucleotides) under Colletotrichum truncatum. RNAcentral's name for it is "partial 18S ribosomal RNA". The record is from RNAcentral. Lineage: Eukaryota; Fungi; Ascomycota; Sordariomycetes; Glomerellales; Glomerellaceae. RNAcentral also lists the same sequence under 62 other names.
AACCUGCGGAGGGAUCAUUA